GGCCAUUGGUGUACAAUAUAAAUAAGCCCGCUCUCCUACUAUUCUCAUUUUUUCAACCACUAGUUGCUUCCAAUGCCCUAGCUUCCAAUCCGUCAAAGGUGUCCUUGCUACCGUGCACUCCACUCUCUUCUCCAGCUCUAACAAGAAGUUUCUCGUCAUCCCCACCUUGUUUUGAUUGGUCCUCUCAUUCUUCCUUCUAAUUUUUCAUUAUUUUUCUCCUUUUUUGUUUGAUUUGUCCUUUCCAUUCUUCUUUUUUUUGAAAAUAUCUUUUAGUGAUAAGGGUCAGGGUGAAAGUCAUCGAGGCGGCCAGAGUUCUUGAGUGCCUCCUCCUCCGUCCAAGUUUGAGGAGAGUCCUCAGACCACUACCGAGGUCACUUCCUCAUCCAAGUGCCAAGGUCCCGAAUUGUGUAGGUUGGAGAGUCCUGUACGGCGAUUUGGAGACUUCUCUAGUCCUAAGAGUGAAGAAUCAUCCAUCACUGAGGCCGACCUUCAAAGGUCUCGAUCUCAAUACUCCAUUCCUUCUGCUUUCUAGCUCAAAGUCCUGAGCUGAAAAGAUUGAGUCUCCAAUACUUCGAAGGGUCAAGUCAUCUUGGAUGAGGGGACUUUUUGAGCUGGUCUUCGAUUACCUUUUCAUCCCUUCAUCUCUAAUAUUCUGAACUUCUUCUUCGAAAUUAUUCUGACCAAGAUCACUCCAAACUCUAUUCAAAUGAUCAUUAUCUUCAUCAUUCUGUGCGAUUGACUCGACAUCCAGCUGAAGACUUCUCUCUUCAGGGCAUUGUUCACCCUAAAGAGGCACCCC
RNAcentral lists this long non-coding RNA (799 nucleotides) under Elaeis guineensis (African oil palm). RNAcentral describes it as "long non-coding RNA (EGUI_LNC008153)". Lineage: Eukaryota; Viridiplantae; Streptophyta; Magnoliopsida; Arecales; Arecaceae. The record is from RNAcentral.